CCUACGGGAGGCAGCAGUGAGGAAUAUUGGACAAUGGGCGCAAGCCUGAUCCAGCCAUGCCGCGUGCAGGAAGAAGCAUCUAUGGUGUGUAAACUGCUUUUGUACAGGAAGAAACACUCCCUCGUGAGGGAGCUUGACGGUACUGUAAGAAUAAGGACCGGCUAACUCCGUGCCAGCAGCCGCGGUAAUACGGAGGGUCCGAGCGUUAUCCGGAAUCAUUGGGUUUAAAGGGUCCGUAGGCGGUUUAAUAAGUCAGUGGUGAAAUCUGGUCGCUCAACGAUCAAACGGCCAUUGAUACUGUUAGACUUGAAUUAUAAGGAAGUAACUAGAAUAUGUAGUGUAGCGGUGAAAUGCUUAGAUAUUACAUGGAAUACCAAUUGCGAAGGCAGGUUACUACUUAUGGAUUGACGCUGAUGGACGAAAGCGUGGGGAGCGAACAGGAUUAGAUACCCUGGUAGUCCACGCCGUAAACGAUGGAUACUAGCUGUUCGGAGCAAUCUGAGUGGCUAAGCGAAAGUGAUAAGUAUCCCACCUGGGGAGUAACGUUCGCAAGAAUGAAACUUCAAAAUUGAGUUAGAGGCGNGAGAGNGCGACGGACGACACGAGGGAGGAGG
Molecule: ribosomal RNA, 614 nt
Filed under: uncultured bacterium
Lineage: Bacteria
Description: bacterial SSU rRNA
Rfam family: Bacterial small subunit ribosomal RNA
Source: RNAcentral